GACGAACGCUGGCGGCGUGCUUAACACAUGCAAGUCGAACGGAAAGGCCCUGCUUUUGUGGGGUGCUCGAGUGGCGAACGGGUGAGUAACACGUGAGUAACCUGCCCUUUACUUUGGGAUAACUUCAGGAAACUGGGGCUAAUACCGGAUAGGAGCUCCUGCUGCAUGGUGGGGGUUGGAAAGUUUCGGCGGUUGGGGAUGGACUCGCGGCUUAUCAGCUUGUUGGUGGGGUAGUGGCUUACCAAGGCUUUGACGGGUAGCCAGCCUGAGAGGGUGACCGGCCACAUUGGGACUGAGAUACGGCCCAGACUCCUACGGGAGGCAGCAGUGGGGAAUAUUGCACAAUGGGCGGAAGCCUGAUGCAGCAACGCCGCGUGCGGGAUGACGGCCUUCGGGUUGUAAACCGCUUUCGCCUGUGACGAAGCGUGAGUGACGGUAAUGGGUAAAGAAGCACCGGCUAACUACGUG
Molecule: ribosomal RNA, 468 nt
Filed under: uncultured bacterium
Lineage: Bacteria
Description: partial 16S ribosomal RNA
Rfam family: Bacterial small subunit ribosomal RNA
Source: RNAcentral